GGGUUGUGAGGUUAAGCGACUAAGCGUACACGGUGGAUGCCCUGGCAGUCAGAGGCGAUGAAGGGCGUGCUAAUCUGCGAUAAGCGCCGGUAAGGUGAUAUGAACCGUUAUAACCGGCGAUACCCGAAUGGGGAAACCCAGUGUGAUUCGUCACACUAUCAUUAACUGAAUCCAUAGGUUAAUGAGGCGAACCGGGGGAACUGAAACAUCUAAGUACCCCGAGGAAAAGAAAUCAACCGAGAUUCCCCCAGUAGCGGCGAGCGAACGGGGAGGAGCCCAGAGCCUGAAUCAGCAUGUGUGUUAGUGGAAGCGUCUGGAAAGGUGCGCGAUACAGGGUGACAGCCCCGUACACAAAAGCGCAUGUGCUGUGAGCUCGAUGAGUAGGGCGGGACACGUGGUAUCCUGUCUGAAUAUGGGGGGACCAUCCUCCAAGGCUAAAUACUCCUGACUGACCGAUAGUGAACCAGUACCGUGAGGGAAAGGCGAAAAGAACCCCGGCGAGGGGAGUGAAAAAGAACCUGAAACCGUGUACGUACAAGCAGUGGGAGCACAGGUUUACCUGUGUGACUGCGUACCUUUUGUAUAAUGGGUCAGCGACUUAUAUUCUGUAGCAAGGUUAACCGUAUAGGGGAGCCGGAGGGAAACCGAGUCUUAAUUGGGCGUUAAGUUGCAGGGUAUAGACCCGAAACCCGGUGAUCUAGCCAUGGGCAGGUUGAAGGUUGGGUAACACUAACUGGAGGACCGAACCGACUAAUGUUGAAAAAUUAGCGGAUGACCUGUGGCUGGGGGUGAAAGGCCAAUCAAACCGGGAGAUAGCUGGUUCUCCCCGAAAGCUAUUUAGGUAGCGCCUCGUGAAUUCAUCUCCGGGGGUAGAGCACUGUUUCGGCUAGGGGGCCAUCCCGGCUUACCAACCCGAUGCAAACUGCGAAUACCGGAGAAUGUUAUCACGGGAGACACACGGCGGGUGCUAACGUCCGUCGUGAAGAGGGAAACAACCCAGACCGCCAGCUAAGGUCCCAAAGUCAUGGUUAAGUGGGAAACGAUGUGGGAAGGCCCAGACAGCCAGGAUGUUGGCUUAGAAGCAGCCAUCAUUUAAAGAAAGCGUAAUAGCUCACUGGUCGAGUCGGCCUGCGCGGAAGAUGUAACGGGGCUAAACCAUGCACCGAAGCUGCGGCAGCGAACGUAUCACCCAAGACAACUUUACGGAGUUGACGAUUGACGGAGCGAAGCGACGUCAAAGCGUUCAUUAAAGUCGAGUUGGCUUAGGGAUACGUUCGUUGGGUAGGGGAGCGUUCUGUAAGCCUGUGAAGGUGUGUCGUGAGGCAUGCUGGAGGUAUCAGAAGUGCGAAUGCUGACAUAAGUAACGAUAAAGCGGGUGAAAAGCCCGCUCGCCGGAAGACCAAGGGUUCCUGUCCAACGUUAAUCGGGGCAGGGUGAGUCG
RNAcentral lists this ribosomal RNA (1441 nucleotides) under Salmonella enterica subsp. enterica serovar Heidelberg. RNAcentral's name for it is "bacterial LSU rRNA". It matches the Rfam family "Bacterial large subunit ribosomal RNA", at positions 1 to 1386 of the family's 2925-position model. Lineage: Bacteria; Pseudomonadati; Pseudomonadota; Gammaproteobacteria; Enterobacterales; Enterobacteriaceae. The record is from RNAcentral.